Brienomyrus brachyistius is the source of this 655-nucleotide long non-coding RNA. RefSeq lists it as uncharacterized. The transcript has 6 exons. Lineage: Eukaryota; Metazoa; Chordata; Actinopteri; Osteoglossiformes; Mormyridae. The record is from RefSeq and is a predicted model, not a curated record.
CCACAUAUAAGAAGUUUGUGAAGGCAGCAUUAGCAAUGAACCCUAGCGACCAUUAUAUCCUAAAGGUAACGUUAACGUGCACAACAACAUCUAUAAUUAAUACAACCCUGAGGAGCACUCUCACAGUCCCAGGUUAGUAUUCACAUGAGUCUAUAGUAUUUUAGCAUUGUCACAGUCCCAGGUUAGUAUUCACAUGAGUCUACAGUAUUUUAGCAUUGUCACAGUCCCAGGUUAGUAUUCACAUGAGUCUACAGUAUUUUAGCACUGUCACAGUCCCAGGUUAGUAUUCACAUGAGUCUACAGUAUUUUAGCAUUGUCACAGUCCCAGGUUAGUAUUCACAUGAGUCUACAGUAUUUUAGCAUUGUCACAGUCCCAGGUUAGUAUUCACAUGAGUCUACAGUAUUUUAGCAUUGUCACAGUCCCAGGUUAGUAUUCACAUGAGUCUACAGUAUUUUAGCAUUGUCACAGUCCCAGGUUAGUAUUCACAUGAGUCUACAGUAUUUUAGCAUUGUCACAGUCCCAGGUUAGUAUUCACAUGAGUCUACAGUAUUUUAGCAUUGUCACAGUCCCAGGUUAGUAUUCACAUGAGUCUACAGUAUUUUAGCAUUUGCACAGUCUUAAGUUCCACAAGUCCAGUUUAGUAUUGGCACAGUC